AUUGAACGCUGGCGGCAGGCCUAACACAUGCAAGUCGAGCGAGCGGCGGACGGGUGAGUAAUGUAUGGGGAUCUGCCUGAUGGAGGGGGAUAACUACUGGAAACGGUAGCUAAUACCGCAUACUAUCGGAUGAACCCAGAUGGGAUUAGCUAGUAGGUGAGGUAACGGCUCACCUAGGCGACGAUCCCUAGCUGGGCUGAGAGGAUGACCAGCCACACUGGGACUGAGACACGGUCCAGACUCCUACGGGAGGCAGCAGUGGGGAAUAUUGCACAAUGGGCGCAAGCCUGAUGCAGCCAUGCCGCGUGUAUGAAGAAGGCCUUCGGGUUGUAAAGUACUUUCAGCCGGGAGGCGUUACCGGCAGAAGAAGCACCGGCUAACUCCGUGCCAGCAGCCGCGGUAAUAC
This 406-nucleotide ribosomal RNA is filed under the name uncultured bacterium. RNAcentral describes it as "partial 16S ribosomal RNA". It matches the Rfam family "Bacterial small subunit ribosomal RNA", at positions 30 to 526 of the family's 1533-position model. The record is from RNAcentral.